RNAcentral lists this ribosomal RNA (484 nucleotides) under uncultured bacterium. RNAcentral's name for it is "partial 16S ribosomal RNA". It matches the Rfam family "Bacterial small subunit ribosomal RNA", at positions 28 to 507 of the family's 1533-position model. The record is from RNAcentral.
GACGAACGCUGGCGGCGUGCUUAACACAUGCAAGUCGAACGGAAAGGCCCUGCUUGCGGGGUACUCGAGUGGCGAACGGGUGAGUAACACGUGGGUGAUCUGCCCUGCACUUCGGGAUAAGCCUGGGAAACUGGGUCUAAUACCGGAUAGGAGCCAUUUUUAGUGUGAUGGUUGGAAAGUUUUUUCGGUGUAGGAUGAGCUCGCUGCCUAUCAGCUUGUUGGUAGGGUAAUGUCCUACCAAGGCGGCGUCGGGUAGCCGGCCUGAGAGGGUGGACGGCCACACUGGAACUGGGAGACGGGCGGGACUCAUACCGGAGGCAGCCGUAGGGAAUCUGCCGGAAUGGGCGAAAGGCUGCCGGAGCUAUGCCGGGUGAUUGAUGUAGGCUUGCGGAUCGUAGUAUUGUGUGAUUAGGGAAAAAAAUAUGCGACAGGAACUGUGCACAUCUUGACGGUACCUAAUCAGAAAGCCACGGCUAACUACGUG